This 969-nucleotide ribosomal RNA is filed under the name Staphylococcus aureus. RNAcentral's name for it is "bacterial LSU rRNA". It matches the Rfam family "Bacterial large subunit ribosomal RNA", at positions 1 to 965 of the family's 2925-position model. The record is from RNAcentral. Lineage: Bacteria; Bacillati; Bacillota; Bacilli; Caryophanales; Staphylococcaceae.
AGAUUAAGUUAUUAAGGGCGCACGGUGGAUGCCUUGGCACUAGAAGCCGAUGAAGGACGUUACUAACGACGAUAUGCUUUGGGGAGCUGUAAGUAAGCUUUGAUCCAGAGAUUUCCGAAUGGGGAAACCCAGCAUGAGUUAUGUCAUGUUAUCGAUAUGUGAAUACAUAGCAUAUCAGAAGGCACACCCGGAGAACUGAAACAUCUUAGUACCCGGAGGAAGAGAAAGAAAAUUCGAUUCCCUUAGUAGCGGCGAGCGAAACGGGAAGAGCCCAAACCAACAAGCUUGCUUGUUGGGGUUGUAGGACACUCUAUACGGAGUUACAAAGGACGACAUUAGACGAAUCAUCUGGAAAGAUGAAUCAAAGAAGGUAAUAAUCCUGUAGUCGAAAAUGUUGUCUCUCUUGAGUGGAUCCUGAGUACGACGGAGCACGUGAAAUUCCGUCGGAAUCUGGGAGGACCAUCUCCUAAGGCUAAAUACUCUCUAGUGACCGAUAGUGAACCAGUACCGUGAGGGAAAGGUGAAAAGCACCCCGGAAGGGGAGUGAAAUAGAACCUGAAACCGUGUGCUUACAAGUAGUCAGAGCCCGUUAAUGGGUGAUGGCGUGCCUUUUGUAGAAUGAACCGGCGAGUUACGAUUUGAUGCAAGGUUAAGCAAUAAAUGUGGAGCCGUAGCGAAAGCGAGUCUGAAUAGGGCGUUUAGUAUUUGGUCGUAGACCCGAAACCAGGUGAUCUACCCUUGGUCAGGUUGAAGUUCAGGUAACACUGAAUGGAGGACCGAACCGACUUACGUUGAAAAGUGAGCGGAUGAACUGAGGGUAGCGGAGAAAUUCCAAUCGAACCUGGAGAUAGCUGGUUCUCUCCGAAAUAGCUUUAGGGCUAGCCUCAAGUGAUGAUUAUUGGAGGUAGAGCACUGUUUGGACGAGGGGCCCCUCUCGGGUUACCGAAUUCAGACAAACUCCGAAUGCCA